RNA transcript from Nyctereutes procyonoides (raccoon dog), 2211 nucleotides. It is a transcript of the gene named B-box and SPRY domain containing, with no coding region annotated. The transcript has 7 exons. Lineage: Eukaryota; Metazoa; Chordata; Mammalia; Carnivora; Canidae. The record is from RefSeq and is a predicted model, not a curated record.
GGCGCCGGGCGCUCGGCCAUGUCUGCGGGGAGCGCGGGGCCGGGGCCGCUGUGCCCGGAGCACGGCCAGGCCCUGGGCUGGUUCUGCUGCUCCGAGCGACGGCCCGUGUGCGCCGGCUGCGCGGGGCUGGGCGGCCGCUGCCGGGGCCACCGCAUCCGCCGGGCGGAGGAGCGCGCGGAAGAGCUGCGGAACAAGAUUGUGGACCAGUGUGAGAGGCUGCAGUUACAGAGUGCCAGCAUCACCAAGUAUGUGGCUGAGGUCCUGCCAGGGAAGAACCAGAGAGCAGUGAGCACAGCCAGCGCAGCACGGGAACUGGUCAUCCAGAGGCUAGGUGUGGUGAGGAGUCUGUGUGAGAGUGAGGAGCAGCGUUUGCUGGAACAGGUGCAUGGCGAAGAGGAGCGGGCCCACCAGAGUAUCCUGACACAGCGAGUACACUGGACUGAAGCGCUGCAGAAGCUUGACACCAUUCGGACCAGCCUGGUGGACAUGCUCACCCAUCUGGAUGACCUCCAGCUGAUUCAGAAGGAGCAGGAGAUUUUUGAAAGGACCGAGGAGGCAGAGGGCAUUCUGGAUCCUCAGGAGUCGGACAAGUUAAACUUUAAUGAGAAGUGCAUUCGGAGCCCACUACUUACCCAACUCUGGCUGACAGCAGUUCUUGGGUCCCUCUCAGGCAUGGAGGACGUGCGUAUCGACGAGAGGACUGUCAGCCCCUUGCUGCAGCUGUCAGAUGAUCGAAGGACCCUGACCUUCAACGCCAAGAAGUCCAAGGCCUGUGCCGAUGUCCCCGAGCGCUUUGACCACUGGCCCAAUGCCCUCGCUGCCACCUCUUUCCAGGCUGGGCUGCACACCUGGCUGGUGCACGUCCAGAACAGUUGUGCCUAUAAAGUGGGCGUGGCCUUGGGCCAGCUGCCCCGCAAGGGCUCUGGCAGCGACUCCCGGCUGGGCCACAACACCUUCUCGUGGGUCUUCUCCCGCUAUGACCAGGAGUUCUGUUUCUCGCACGACGGGCAGCACGAGCCGCUGGGGCUGCUGCGUUGCCCCUCGCAGCUGGGUGUGCUCCUGGACUUGCAGGCACAGGAGCUGCUCUUCUACGAGCCCGCCUCGGGCACGGUGCUCCACACCCACCACGCGCCCUUCCCGGGGCCCCUCUUCCCCGUCUUCGCCGUGGCCGACCAGACCAUUUCCAUCGUCCACUGACCUGGGGCCACAGGGAGCCCGGGGCUACCCCCCACGCCUCCAGGCCACGUUCCUCUCCAGCGUCUUUUCCCCCAAAUGUUGCCUCUGCCCAGUGGGCAGCUUUUAGGAGGGGUGGGGACCCGCUUCGGGCCUGCGUCCCGGCUCGGCAUCCGUGGGGAGCCUGCCGCUCCCUGGGCCUCAGCCUCCCAAACCCGCCACGCAUCUGCCCCUCUGAGGGUGUCUUGUUUACCAGUCACAGCUGGCAUCCAGCGCGGUGCCUGGUGCCUACUGAUUGUGCAAUAAAUAUUUCACAAGCACGUGGAUGGAUGGAAGGGUGCCCAGGUGUGUGUGGGAGGCUCUUCUCGAGAACCUUAAAGGGAUUCAGGAGUCCUGCUAGGCCGCUGUUGGCCACAGGACUCUGGCCUGGGGGGCUCAGAAGACUGAGGGCAUCCUGUCCGUAGGGAACUGGACUGCAACACCCCCAUUGGCGGUUCUGCCUCGGGGUGGGUGGCUGGGCUCAGCUGUGCACCCCUCCGUGGGAACAGGGACAACCCCCCCCCCUGCAACUCGUGGCCCCCCUGGCAUACUGUGGGGACCCGGAGGGAGGGCUUCAAGCCUGAGAGGACAGAGGCAGUAAGAGGGUCAGGUUUGGGGAACAGGUAUGUUAUUAAAGGUUUUCAAAGACUGAGAAGUUUCUUCCAUGUUCUUUGUGGCUAAUUGGGCAAAUCUCCCCAAGUGCCAGCUCACGUCUGAAGAGGUGCCCUUGCUAGGACGUAGAGGCCUUCCUCACCCCCCUCGGCAUGCCGAGCUCAGCACACACACCCAAGAGAGCCCUGCCUGCUGGAACCAAGGGCAAUCGCUUCCUGCUCCAGGUCCCAUCAGAACAGUGGUCCUCCCAUUUCUGUUAUUUAGGAACACAGUUCAAAGGCGAUCUUACCUAUAACCUCAGGCCCCGGGCUCAAAGAUGGUGGCCAAAGCCGUCCCCACUCAUAUGCUUAUUUACUUGAAACACCGGGUUGGGGACGCCUGGGUGGC